GGGCGAUUAGCUCAGUUGGUUAGAGCGCUACCUUUACACGGUAGAUGUCGGGGGUUCGAGUCCCUCAUCGCCCA
RNAcentral lists this transfer RNA (74 nucleotides) under Pirellulales bacterium. Its description in RNAcentral is "tRNA-Val". It matches the Rfam family "tRNA". Rfam says of the family: Transfer RNA (tRNA) molecules are approximately 80 nucleotides in length. Their secondary structure includes four short double-helical elements and three loops (D, anti-codon, and T loops). Lineage: Bacteria; Pseudomonadati; Planctomycetota; Planctomycetia; Pirellulales. The record is from RNAcentral.